CUGGUCGCUCUCUCUUUUCAGUCCGUCACUGCACGUCUCGAACCCACUGCCUCGCUGGCCGCGGCAGACGGAUGUUUAACCUGGCUGUGGAGCAUCAUACCUGGUACAUUCUCUGGAAAUGCACUGCUGACAUUCGGAACUGCCCGUCUCAGCACAGCGAUGGUCAGCGAUGGUGAAAUGGCAGCAAUUUCAUAGAUUUCCAUCUGGUAGGCCUCAGAUCUGGAGUUGAGAGGCAAGAUUCUUCCUGGUUCUGCAUAUUAAACAGUUUGUUCUUGGGAAGACCAACCCACACCUCUGUUCUCAGCUAAUAGUUACAGCAUAUUAUCAAGGUUGUUACAUGCCUGUUACUGCAUAUCACAGCAUCUGUCUGUGGUUGAAGACCAUGAUGAAACACAUCAUUUCUACUGUAAGGAGGUUGUUGCAAUUGUUGUUUAAUUAUGUGAUGGAUGUUCUCUUUCUGAAGAUUCAGGAUAAAUCAAUUUGUUCAUACCAUCAGGAACAGUUGUUUUUCUCCUUGGGAAUUAAAAAAAAAUUUUUAAAAAAAUAAACACAGAGAAUUGUGUCCUUAGAAGUUUUACUGUCACAUUAACCACUAGAAAGCUUGGAGCUAAAUUUGCAAGUUAUUCAUGGCAAAAAUAAAGACUUUGUGGCAUAUA
Phyllostomus hastatus (greater spear-nosed bat) is the source of this 656-nucleotide long non-coding RNA. RefSeq lists it as uncharacterized. The transcript is spliced from 4 exons. Lineage: Eukaryota; Metazoa; Chordata; Mammalia; Chiroptera; Phyllostomidae. The record is from RefSeq and is a predicted model, not a curated record.